Perognathus longimembris pacificus (Pacific pocket mouse) is the source of this 1012-nucleotide long non-coding RNA. RefSeq lists it as uncharacterized. Lineage: Eukaryota; Metazoa; Chordata; Mammalia; Rodentia; Heteromyidae. The record is from RefSeq and is a predicted model, not a curated record. The transcript has 3 exons.
AGGAAGGAAACACCUAGGGGAGGUGAAUUUUACUUUUCCACUCCUAACAAUCUUCCUCCACAAGCCCUUGUGCAAUCAGCACUUGCUCAUUCUCGCUGAGAGACGCAGGCAGAGACCUCGGCUGAAGAAUUGGAUAGAGAGAGCAUUUGGGCACUACCGCUCGGUUUUGGGUGUUGGCAAUGGGUCCACUUGAUUCUACUCUGCAGAGCUUUUCUCGACAUGGAAAGUGGACUUGUGAGCCUGACAUUCAGUGAUUUCGACCUCUACAUUUGGCUACCACAGCCCCCAAGACAAUGGUGCUGACUCCAGGAGAGGACACACAAGGGAAGGUUGUGGGAAGAAUUCCAGGGAGAACCCCAACAUUGCCGAGUCUCCCAUAUGCCUUUGGAUCCAGUUAAGUGGUUCAUCAGGUGCUUAGGGGUGAGGAGAUAUUGGACUUCCAGAAACUGCAACCCUUCCUUCCAUACCCUAGACCUCCUUCCAGAUGUUCAAUAAAGGACUCGGAUUUCCUGGACCUCUCUGCUCCAGGCGAUUGUCUCUGGCUGUGCUAUUGCAGGAUGGAGAAGUACCUGGAAACAGAGUUGUGGCUUUGGGGAUCUGAGAGCUGGUCAGUAUAGGUAUGUGUGAUUGUGGUGAAAUACAUGGAAAUGGAUAAGAUUAUUAAGUGCAGAGUUUCUCUUCUCCACUGGGGACAUUCUGCAGUAUCUGGAGAAAUUCUUCAUUGCUCCAAUGUGGAGUGGUAUCUAACUAGUGGUAUCUAACAGGGAGAGGCCAGAGAUGUGCAGACAUUCUACAGUGCACAGGAUCCUGAGCAGCAAAGAUGCACCUAACCAAACAAAUAGUGCAGAGGCUGAGAAAACACAGAUCUUCUAGAUCUGUAGAGAGCAAAGAGCCUCAGAGGGAGCACUAAGAUGCUCUGGUAUUCAAGGCAAGCAAAUAGCCCUGAAAAGGACCCACCAACGAAGGGAGAGGGUGAGAUUCAAAGAGAAAGGAGGAAGCAGUUCAGUUGCAA